UGAACGCUGGCGGCAUGCUUUACACAUGCAAGUCGAACGGCAGCACGAAAGAGCUUGCUCUUUUGGUGGCGAGUGGCGAACGGGUGAGUAAUACAUUGGAACGUACCGAGUAAUGGGGGAUAACUGUCCGAAAGGAUGGCUAAUACCGCAUACGCUCUGAGGAGGAAAGCGGGGGACCUUCGGGCCUCGCGUUAUUCGAGCGGCCAAUGUCUGAUUAGCUAGUUGGUGGGGUAAAGGCCUACCAAGGCGACGAUCAGUAGUGGGUCUGAGAGGAUGAUCCGCCACACUGGGACUGAGACACGGCCCAGACUCCUACGGGAGGCAGCAGUGGGGAAUUUUGGACAAUGGGCGAAAGCCUGAUCCAGCCAUGCCGCGUGUCUGAAGAAGGCCUUCGGGUUGUAAAGGACUUUUGUCAGGGAAGAAAGGGUUUGGGUUAAUACCCUGAGCUUAUGAC
RNAcentral lists this ribosomal RNA (454 nucleotides) under uncultured Neisseria sp. RNAcentral's name for it is "bacterial SSU rRNA". It matches the Rfam family "Bacterial small subunit ribosomal RNA", at positions 30 to 473 of the family's 1533-position model. Lineage: Bacteria; Pseudomonadati; Pseudomonadota; Betaproteobacteria; Neisseriales; Neisseriaceae. The record is from RNAcentral.